UGGAGCAGAGCGGGUAUCAGGCGCAACAACAUUAGCCCACAACACCUUGCCAAGCCACAUCCCCACGGACAAGCAGCAGUGACCAACAUUAGGCAAUAAGCACAUCAAGCUUGACCUAGCUAGAAUUCCCCCUCGGUCGGCAAAUCUCGUGCCAGCAGCCGCGGUUACACGGGAGACCGAAGAUAGCACACUAACGGCGUAAAGAGUGACCACAGAUUUUACACCUCCAUCCGGAUUCAAAAAUUUCACCUUAGAGAUGAAAUCCAAAGGUACCAGAAAUCCUUCAGCAUCCCAAAAUAGGCCAUCUAAUUCACGAAAGCCAGGACACAAACUAGGAUA
RNAcentral lists this ribosomal RNA (339 nucleotides) under Varanus prasinus. RNAcentral's name for it is "partial 12S ribosomal RNA". The record is from RNAcentral. Lineage: Eukaryota; Metazoa; Chordata; Lepidosauria; Squamata; Varanidae.